Molecule: ribosomal RNA, 834 nt
Filed under: uncultured organism
Description: SSU rRNA
Rfam family: Bacterial small subunit ribosomal RNA
Source: RNAcentral
GAUGCUGGAUGUCUUGAGUGCAGUUGAGGCAGGCGGAAUUCGUGGUGUAGCGGUGAAAUGCUUAGAUAUCACAAAGAACUCCGAUUGCGAAGGCAGCCUGCUAAGCUGCAACUGACAUUGAGGCUCGAAAGUGUGGGUAUCAAACAGGAUUAGAUACCCUGGUAGUCCACACGGUAAACGAUGAAUACUCGCUGUUUGCGAUAUACGGCAAGCGGCCAAGCGAAAGCGUUAAGUAUUCCACCUGGGGAGUACGCCGGCAACGGUGAAACUCAAAGGAAUUGACGGGGGCCCGCACAAGCGGAGGAACAUGUGGUUUAAUUCGAUGAUACGCGAGGAACCUUACCCGGGCUUAAAUUGCACUCGAAUGAUCCGGAAACGGUUCAGCUAGCAAUAGCGAGUGUGAAGGUGCUGCAUGGUUGUCGUCAGCUCGUGCCGUGAGGUGUCGGCUUAAGUGCCAUAACGAGCGCAACCCUUGUUGUCAGUUACUAACAGGUGAUGCUGAGGACUCUGACAAGACUGCCAUCGUAAGAUGUGAGGAAGGUGGGGAUGACGUCAAAUCAGCACGGCCCUUACGUCCGGGGCUACACACGUGUUACAAUGGGGGGUACAGAGGGCCGCUACCACGCGAGUGGAUGCCAAUCCCUAAAACCCCUCUCAGUUCGGACUGGAGUCUGCAACCCGACUCCACGAAGCUGGACUCGCUAGUAAUCGCGCAUCAGCCACGGCGCGGUGAAUACGUUCCCGGGCCUUGUACACACCGCCCGUCAAGCCAUGGGAGCCGGGGGUACCUGAAGUGCGUAACCGCGAGGAUCGCCCUAGGGUAAAACUGGUGAC